UGGGGCCCUCGGCAGACGCAUGUCCCCACCAAUUCAGAUGGCUGCAGGGGCCAGGAAGGCGACACAGAGGACUAAAGGAGACCGUGGGCAUCGGCAAAUUGGAGACUGUGAGCUCCAGUUAGAGGAAGGAGCUGUGUCUUAAGCCAUUUUGUGUUACUUAUUAUAAAGGAAUACCUGAGGCUGGUGUAUAUACAGAAGAUGGUCUAUUUAGGCUCACGAUUCUGAUGGUUGGAAAGUUCAUGGUCAGGCGUCUGCUUCUAGGGAGGGCCUUGUGCUGCUUCCACUCAGAGUGGAAAGUGGAGGGGAGCCGUGUGAGUGGAUUACGUGGCAAGAGGAAGCAAGCGUGCUGGGAGGCGCCAGGGUGUUUUUAACAACUUGCCUCUCUUGGGAACUAAUAGAGCGAGAACUCAUUCAUUUCCUUGAGGAGGGCACCACGACGUUCAUGAAGGAUCGGCCCCCAUGACCCCAACACCUCCCGCCAGGCCCCACCUCCAACAGCAGGGAUCACAUUUCAACCGGAGAUUUGGAGGGACAGCAUCCCCCCUACAGCGGCUGCUGCAGAGUUCCAGUGAUGGCUGACGUGCAGAUCCAGAGGCUGAAUGUCGUUUUCAAGAGAAGACAGAAAUUUUGAUUUUUUUUUAAUCCACAGAUGGUUGAAGCUGGGCUCUUUGAAGAAAUGACAAUAGACAUUUGCCUGGAGGUUUAGUGUUUACAAAGCGAUCCACUAACACCAUCUCUUGGAAUCCUCACAACAGCAGUGGGGAGAAGGCAUUGUAGGCAUAAUCUGUGUUACAGCUGUGGAAUCUGGGGCUCACCGUUUGGACAACUUUUUGGAGGUCAUGCAGCUAGUCAGACAGAGCUGAUACAAACGCGGGUCUCAGAACUCUACACCGGGGUUUUCCCCUCUGCCUGGCACUCGGGGACAAGGUGAGGGGAUGGGCUACCCUAGCCACUGUUAUGGGUUGAAUUUUGUCCUCCUAAAAGAUGUGUUGAGCUA
Molecule: long non-coding RNA, 997 nt
Organism: Cebus imitator (Panamanian white-faced capuchin)
Lineage: Eukaryota; Metazoa; Chordata; Mammalia; Primates; Cebidae
Exons: 2
Source: RefSeq, a predicted model, not a curated record